AAUUGCAAUUAAGGGCCCAAGAUGUAAUUUGUGAAAAUUGCAAGUAAUGGCCCAAAGGUUUGAAUAAUUAAAUUCAAACCUAUAUUUUUUUUUCUUUAUAAUUUUGGGACCACAAUCCCAUUUUUAUAUUAUUUUUCUCUCUUUUUCUCACGUUGCUCGGCGUUUUCUCGCAAGGGGGGAUUAUUUUCUUUUUCUUCAGAUUAUAUUGACAAAGAUAGUGGUGAAAAAGGAGUUGUGAAGGGGAACUUGUUAUUCAAAACACAAGGAGCGAGUCUGGCCGAGAAAGCACCAGAGGUGUAACUAUGGUGUAUGAGACACCAUCUUUUACGUUGCCUCUUAUUUUAGAUUAUACAAUGUAUCUUGUGCCAACUUAGGACAUAUCUUUUUUGUGAAGCAUGUAAACUCUAAUCCUUUUUAUUAAAAGUAUUUAUAUGACCAAGAGGAUUAUGUCUGUCCCUCUUGAUUUAUGAUCUGAUUUGAAUAUCAUGACAUGAAGAUCCUGUCUGUCCCUCAUGGUUCUAAUUGCUUUUUGAGAUAUUUUAAGACCUGUGAUAUAUUGUCUUGGAUGUAUCAUGGUAGAAAUUUUUCUACCAUGAUAAGGGUAUGAUAAGGGUUCAAUGAAAAAAAAAUAAUUUGUUGAAUUAAUAAUUUGCGAAAAAUCGGUUUGUAAAUUUGAGGGUGUUACACAAGUAUCUUCUACUUCUAGUCUGUUGUUCAUCAAUUUGUACAAACCCUGUUUCUUGCAUGUUCCAUGCAAUAUAUUUGGGUUGAGAGGCUAGUUGGAUCUUACUGAUUCACCAAGAUUCAAGAAUAGUGCGUUGCAACCCCCACCCACUAUAGCCUUGCCUUGAUUAGACCUUUUUGGUAUGAACCCAAUUUUUGACUUCGAGGGGCAUUUGUGUGGCAUAACCCUAACUAGAUUCCCAGCUCUAAUUAAAAGUUAUUGGAAGUAACUAUAUAUAUCUAUCAUCUGUCUUAUACUUCACGUGUCUUGCCAUAGGGGCAACGAAUAAAUAUUUCAAGUGUCCUAGUUAGACAUUGAUUAACUUUAAUUUGACCUCGUUGAUUCAUUUGUUUUGUUGGGGAAACAGUCUGAUUCUGAUGAUUCUAUGUAGUGGGACUUACUAUAUACCAACACUAUACUAUUUGUCCACUUUUUCCAUCAUCCUCAUCCUCACAAAUAAACAGAUCAAUAACAACUAGCCAAUGAUGUUUAAUUAGUAAACCUUUGUAAUGUGACCUACAGUUAACUGUUGUAAGUAUCAAUCAAUGCAUAUCAUAUUAUUAAUGGUGCAGCCAUUAGGUAUUAAUGAGUCUUAAUUGUAUGCUAUAUUAAUAUGCAUCAUUGAAGGUUGAGAUUUUUUUGUAAGCUAAACUUAUUUUGAAAUCAAUGGUUUACGUCAUGCCAUUAUGAGCGCGUGUUGCCAUAUAUCAAUGGUGCCCUGUAUUUUAGUUAUUUAUAGCUAGUUUGAGUGUUGGAUUCCUUUAGGUAAUCAUAUAUAUGCCAUAUUUCAUAUUUGCAGUCUACUAAUCUCCUACUAUUAUUGACCACAUUUUAUCAUUGAACUUGGGAAUUCUGAUGAAAUGGGUAUCCUGUCCCAUUAUCGUACUGUAAUUAUGAAGAGAAUCAAGUCCAGGAUUUGUGGGGCAUCUUUUUUCUGACAAGGGCUUCCUUGCAGGACUUUGAAACUCUAGAGAGCAAGUUAUUUAGUUGAACACUUCAAUUAGCGUGAGAUAGUCGACACAAAUAUGGAAGUGGUUGAUGUGUAGCAAACUAUACAUGUAUGCAAAUUCUUUUUUUCAAAUUUAAAGCUACGUCCUAAUUAAUUAUACAGAAACUAUGGAACAGUAGGAUCUACUAGAGAUCUUGGCCGCCUCCCAUGUCUAAAUAUGCUACUACAAAAGUGCAAGUGAUCUUGACCAAACACGCACUAAAACCUGAAUCCCAUUGCCAAUAAAAGAAAGGUGGACAAGCUUCCGAAUGCCACUCAUAUCCUGGUGGACCCUCCGCUUUCUUAUUAUAUUGUAAUUAUACAAUAAGGAAAAUAUUAUUAGUCAAAUGAAUCA
This is a long non-coding RNA of Prosopis cineraria, 2067 nucleotides long. RefSeq lists it as uncharacterized. Lineage: Eukaryota; Viridiplantae; Streptophyta; Magnoliopsida; Fabales; Fabaceae. The transcript has 3 exons. The record is from RefSeq and is a predicted model, not a curated record.